This 86-nucleotide small RNA is filed under the name Flavobacterium aquidurense. Its description in RNAcentral is "Flavo-1 RNA". It matches the Rfam family "Flavo-1 RNA". Lineage: Bacteria; Pseudomonadati; Bacteroidota; Flavobacteriia; Flavobacteriales; Flavobacteriaceae. The record is from RNAcentral.
GCUUAGCCCCGAUGGGAGCGGCAUCCUUUUAUGGCCUCGUCUUUUUAACGAGGCCAUAAAAGAUACAGCGGACAGCGGGACUGAAG